UACAGAGACUGCAAGCGUUAUUCGGAUUCACUGGGCGUAAAGGGUGCGCAGGCGGCCAUGUGUGUUAGGCGUGAAAGCCUGAGGCUUAACCUCAGAAUUGCACCUAAAACUACAUGGCUAGAGCAUUGGAGAGGGUAGCGGAAUUCACGGUGUAGCAGUGAAAUGCGUAGAUAUCGUGAGGAACACCAGAGGCGAAGGCGGCUACCUGGACAAUUGCUGACGCUCAGGCACGAAAGCGUGGGGAGCAAAA
RNAcentral lists this ribosomal RNA (250 nucleotides) under uncultured bacterium. RNAcentral describes it as "partial 16S ribosomal RNA". It matches the Rfam family "Bacterial small subunit ribosomal RNA", at positions 524 to 773 of the family's 1533-position model. The record is from RNAcentral.